RNAcentral lists this unclassified non-coding RNA (701 nucleotides) under Hevea brasiliensis (rubber tree). Lineage: Eukaryota; Viridiplantae; Streptophyta; Magnoliopsida; Malpighiales; Euphorbiaceae. The record is from RNAcentral.
AAGGGACAAUUUAUUAAAAUGUGAUAUACAUAAAUCCUUAGAAACAGAAAAAACCUAAGAAAAUGAAGAACGUUUCAACUGACUCGGUAGCAGAGGAAAACAAACAUGUUUGUAUGCAUGGAAAAGCAUAUACAAGUCAUGGGAAUUCUGUUUGUUUAUUUGUGCAGUCAGUUUUAUCUCAAAAACAUAAAUAAAUAAAUAAAUAAACCUCUCAUCCAGUGAUAAGGAUUGCAGCAUGGUACUUCAUGGUGAUAGGGAUACCAUAUUAACUGAAUUCUUUUGCACAAUAAACACUGAACAUGGCAUGCAAUGAAUCAAUGUUAACUCUUCUCAACCCAUAAAACCAUAGCACUUUUAAAACCAAAUUAUUCCAGAAAUCACGUAAGGAAUGAAAUGGCACAAGAAUACCUCAAUCCAAAUAUCAGGGUAUGUACAAAAUGAAUUUGGUCAUACAGUUACAGUCAUCAAUUACUUCUUUCAAAAUAUAAAAUAUAUCAUGAUUGUGUUCAGUUCAUUUACUCUGAGACUAGGCAUAAAGCCAAGAUGCUACUUGGCACAGACGCAUCUAAAUGUGCUCUUAGGUUGUAUACUAUGGUCUCUGGAAUAAUUAACAUUAAAGGUACUUCCAAAUGCACCCAAAAAUAAUCAAUGACGAGCGCCUUGCUUGAUAUAUUUACAACUACGUCAAAUUAGGAUCAUUA